RNAcentral lists this transfer RNA (76 nucleotides) under Zymobacter palmae. Its description in RNAcentral is "tRNA-Ala". It matches the Rfam family "tRNA". Rfam says of the family: Transfer RNA (tRNA) molecules are approximately 80 nucleotides in length. Their secondary structure includes four short double-helical elements and three loops (D, anti-codon, and T loops). Further hydrogen bonds mediate the characteristic L-shaped molecular structure. tRNAs have two regions of fundamental functional importance: the anti-codon, which is responsible for specific mRNA codon recognition, and the 3' end, to which the tRNAs corresponding amino acid is attached (by aminoacyl-tRNA synthetases). tRNAs cope with the degeneracy of the genetic code in two manners: having more than one tRNA (with a specific anti-codon) for a particular amino acid; and 'wobble' base-pairing, i.e. permitting non-standard base-pairing at the 3rd anti-codon position. Lineage: Bacteria; Pseudomonadati; Pseudomonadota; Gammaproteobacteria; Oceanospirillales; Halomonadaceae. The record is from RNAcentral.
GGGGCCUUAGCUCAGUUGGUAGAGCGCAACGCUGGCAGCGUUGAGGUCAUCGGUUCGAACCCGAUAGGCUCCACCA